RNAcentral lists this ribosomal RNA (518 nucleotides) under uncultured bacterium. Its description in RNAcentral is "bacterial SSU rRNA". It matches the Rfam family "Bacterial small subunit ribosomal RNA", at positions 1 to 518 of the family's 1533-position model. The record is from RNAcentral.
AGGGUUCGAGUUCUGGCUCAGGAUGAACGCUAGCGGCAGGCUUAACACAUGCAAGUCAGGGGCAGCGGGAUGUAGCAAUACAUUGCCGGCGACCGGCGGAUGGGUGCGUAACGCGUAUGCAACCUACCUUAUACAGGGGAAUAACCUUUCGAAAGGGAGACUAACACCCCAUGGUAUUGAUUUAAGGCAUCUUAGAUUAAUUAAAUAUUUAUAGGUAUAAGAUGGGCAUGCGUAUGAUUAGCUAGUUGGUAAGGUAACGGCUUACCAAGGCGACGAUCAUUAGGGGUUCUGAGAGGAAGGUCCCCCACACUGGUACUGAGACACGGACCAGACUCCUACGGGAGGCAGCAGUGAGGAAUAUUGGUCAAUGGGCGCAAGCCUGAACCAGCCAUGCCGCGUGCCAGGAAGACGGCCUUAUGGGUUGUAAACUGCUUUUACAUAAGACUAACCGUAUAUUUGCGAAUAUACCUGAAUGUAUUAUGAGAAUAAGGAUCGGCUAACUCCGUGCCAGCAGCGGC